RNAcentral lists this ribosomal RNA (656 nucleotides) under uncultured fungus. RNAcentral describes it as "eukaryotic LSU rRNA". It matches the Rfam family "Eukaryotic large subunit ribosomal RNA", at positions 24 to 664 of the family's 3401-position model. Lineage: Eukaryota; Fungi. The record is from RNAcentral.
CCCGCUGAACUUAAGCAUAUCAAUAAGCGGAGGAAAAGAAACUAACAAGGAUUCCCCUAGUAACUGCGAGUGAAGAGGGAAAAGCUCAAAUUUAAAAUCUGGCAGUCUUUGAUUGUCCGAGUUGUAAUUUAGAGAAGUGUUACCCGUGUUGGCCCGUGUACAAGUUUCCUGGAAUGGAACGUCAUAGAGGGUGAGAAUCCCGUCUUUGACACGGACUACCAAUGCAUUGUGGUAUGCUCUCGAAGAGUCGAGUUGUUUGGGAAUGCAGCUCUAAAUGGGUGGUAAAUUCCAUCUAAAGCUAAAUAUUGGGGAGAGACCGAUAGCGAACAAGUACCGUGAGGGAAAGAUGAAAAGAACUUUGGAAAGAGAGUUAAACAGUACGUGAAAUUGCUGAAAGGGAAACGCUUGAAGUCAGUCGCGUUGGCCGGGGAUCAGCCUCGCUUUUGCGUGGUGUACUUUCCGGUUGACGGGUCAACAUCAAUUUUGACCACUGGAAAAAGACUUGGGGAAUGUGGCAGCUCCGGCUGUGUUAUAGCUCUUUGUCAUAUACAGUGGUUGGGAUUGAGGUACUCAGCACGCCGCAAGGCCGGGUUUCGACCACGUUCGUGCUUAGGAUGUUGGCAUAAUGGCUUUAAGCGACCCGUCUUGAAACACGG